Molecule: ribosomal RNA, 897 nt
Filed under: uncultured bacterium
Lineage: Bacteria
Description: bacterial SSU rRNA
Rfam family: Bacterial small subunit ribosomal RNA
Source: RNAcentral
GAGUUUGAUCAUGGCUCAGGAUGAACGCUGGCGGCGUGCCUAAUACAUGCAAGUCGAACGGAGUUACGAUGAAACCUAGUGAUUCGUAACUUAGUGGCGGACGGGUGAGUAACGCGUGGAUAACCUGCCUUACACUGGGGGAUAACACUUAGAAAUAGGUGCUAAUACCGCAUAAGCGCACGGAGCCGCAUGGCUCAGUGUGAAAAACUCCGGUGGUGUAAGAUGGAUCCGCGUCUGAUUAGCUGGUUGGCGGGGUAGAAGCCCACCAAGGCGACGAUCAGUAGCCGGCCUGAGAGGGUGACCGGCCACAUUGGGACUGAGACACGGCCCAAACUCCUACGGGAGGCAGCAGUGGGGAAUAUUGCACAAUGGGGGAAACCCUGAUGCAGCAACGCCGCGUGAGUGAAGAAGUCAUUCGUGAUGUAAAGCUCUAUCAGCAGGGAAGAAAAUGACGGUACCUGAGUAAGAAGCCCCGGCUAACUACGUGCCAGCAGCCGCGGUAAUACGUAGGGGGCAAGCGUUAUCCGGAUUUACUGGGUGUAAAGGGAGCGUAGACGGCCAGACAAGUCUGAAGUGAAAAUCCAGCGCUUAACGUUGGAAGUGCUUUGGAAACUGCCGGGCUAGAGUGCAGGAGGGGCAGGCGGAAUUCCUAGUGUAGCGGUGAAAUGCGUAGAUAUUAGGAGGAACACCAGUGGCGAAGGCGGCCUGCUGGACUGCAACUGACGUUGAGGCUCGAAGGCGUGGGGAGCAAACAGGAUUAGAUACCCUGGUAGUCCACGCGGUAAACGAUGAUUACUAGGUGUCGGGGGGCUAGAGCCCUUCGGUGCCGUCGCAAACGCAAUAAGUAAUCCACCUGGGGAGUACGUUCGCAAGAAUGAAACUCAAAGGAAUUGACGG